ACGAACGCUGGCGGCGUGCUUAACACAUGCAAGUCGAACGGUGAAGCGCCUUCCUUUUUGGUGGGUGUGGAUGAGUGGCGAACGGGUGAGUAACACGUGAGUAACCUGCCCCCUUCUUCUGGAUAACCGCAUGAAAGUGUGGCUAAUACGGGAUAUUCUGGGUCUGUCGCAUGAUGGGUCUGGGAAAGAUAUUGUUUCGGUGGGGGAUGGGCUCGCGGCCUAUCAGCUUGUUGGUGGGGUGAUGGCCUACCAAGGCGGUGACGGGUAGCCGGCCUGAGAGGGUGGACGGUCCCACUGGGACUGAGACACGGCCCAGACUCCUACGGGAGGCAGCAGUGGGGAAUAGUGCACAAUGGGCGCAAGCCUGAUGCAGCGACGCCGCGUGAGGGAUGGAGGCCUUCGGGUUGUGAACCUCUUUCGCCAGUGAAGCAGGCCUGCCUCGUUUGUGGGUGGGUUGACGGUAGCUGGAUAAGAAGCGCCGGCUAACUACGUG
RNAcentral lists this ribosomal RNA (493 nucleotides) under uncultured bacterium. Its description in RNAcentral is "partial 16S ribosomal RNA". It matches the Rfam family "Bacterial small subunit ribosomal RNA", at positions 29 to 507 of the family's 1533-position model. The record is from RNAcentral.